CGAACGGGUGAGUAACGCGUGAGGAACCUGCCUCGAAAGAGGGGGACGAAAGUUGGAAACGACUGCUAAUACCGCAUAAGCCCACGGCUCGGCAUCGAGCAGAGGGAAAAGGAGCAAUCCGCUUUGAGAUGGCCUCGCGUCCGGUUAGCUAGUUGGUGAGGUAAUGGCCCACCAAGGCGACGAUCGGUAGCCGGACUGAGAGGUUGAACGGCCACAUUGGGACUGAGACACGGCCCAG
RNAcentral lists this ribosomal RNA (238 nucleotides) under uncultured bacterium. Its description in RNAcentral is "partial 16S ribosomal RNA". It matches the Rfam family "Bacterial small subunit ribosomal RNA", at positions 99 to 334 of the family's 1533-position model. The record is from RNAcentral.